GUGAACGCUGGCGGUAGGCCUAACACAUGCCAGUCGCACGGCAGCACAGUAAGAGCUUGCUCUUACGGGUGGCGAGUGGCGGACGGGUGAGGAAUACAUCGGAAUCUACUUUUUCGUGGGGGAUAACGUAGGGAAACUUACGCUAAUACCGCAUACGACCUACGGGUGAAAGCAGGGGAUCUUCGGACCUUGCGCGAUUGAAUGAGCCGAUGUCGGAUUAGCUAGUUGGCGGGGUAAAGGCCCACCAAGGCGACGAUCCGUAGCUGGUCUGAGAGGAUGAUCAGCCACACUGGAACUGAGACACGGUCCAGACUCCUACGGGAGGCAGCAGUGGGGAAUAUUGGACAAUAGGCGCAAGCCUGAUCCAGCCAUACCGCGUGGGUGAAGAAGGCCUUCGGGUUGUAAAGCCCUUUUGUUGGGAAAGAAAAGCAGCAGGUUAAUACCCCGCUGUUCUGACGGUACCCAAAGAAUAAGCACCGGCUAACUUCGUG
Molecule: ribosomal RNA, 491 nt
Filed under: uncultured bacterium
Lineage: Bacteria
Description: partial 16S ribosomal RNA
Rfam family: Bacterial small subunit ribosomal RNA
Source: RNAcentral